Molecule: ribosomal RNA, 502 nt
Filed under: uncultured bacterium
Lineage: Bacteria
Description: bacterial SSU rRNA
Rfam family: Bacterial small subunit ribosomal RNA
Source: RNAcentral
AGAGUUUGAUCCUGGCUCAGAUUGAACGCUGGCGGCAUGCCUUACACAUGAAAGUCGAACGGCAGCGGGCCUUCGGGUGCCGGCGAGUGGCGAACGGGUGAGUAAUGCAUCGGAACGUGCCAUUGAGUGGGGGAUAACGUAGCGAAAGUUACGCUAAUACCGCAUAUUCUGUGAGCAGGAAAGCAGGGGACCGCAAGGCCUUGCGCUCUUUGAGCGGCCGAUGUCAGAUUAGCUAGUUGGUGAGGUAAAGGCUUACCAAGGCGACGAUCUGUAGCGGGUCUGAGAGGAUGAUCCGCCACACUGGAACUGAGACACGGUCCAGACUCCUACGGGAGGCAGCAGUGGGGAAUUUUGGACAAUGGGCGCAAGCCUGAUCCAGCCAUGCCGCGUGAGUGAAGAAGGCCUUCGGGUUGUAAAGCUCUUUCGGCCGGGAAGAAAUCGCAUGGGUUAAUACCCUGUGUGGAUGACGGUACCGGAAUAAGAAGCACCGGCUAACUACGUG